RNAcentral lists this ribosomal RNA (2909 nucleotides) under Aeromonas hydrophila. RNAcentral's name for it is "23S ribosomal RNA". It matches the Rfam family "Bacterial large subunit ribosomal RNA". Lineage: Bacteria; Pseudomonadati; Pseudomonadota; Gammaproteobacteria; Aeromonadales; Aeromonadaceae. The record is from RNAcentral.
GUUGUAUGGUUAAGUGACUAAGCGUACAUGGUGGAUGCCUUGGCAGUCAGAGGCGAUGAAGGACGUACUAACCUGCGAUAAGCCGUGAGCAGUCGGUAAGAGACAUUACGACUCACGGAUUUCCGAAUGGGGAAACCCACUUAGCAUAAGCUAGGUAUCGCUGCGUGAAUACAUAGCGUAGCGAGGCGAACCGGGAGAACUGAAACAUCUAAGUACCCCGAGGAAAAGAAAUCAACCGAGAUUCCCUCAGUAGCGGCGAGCGAACGGGGAUUAGCCCUUAAGCAUCUUGGAAGUUAGUGGAACGGUCCUGGAAAGGCCGGCGAUACAGGGUGAUAGCCCCGUACACGAAAACAACCUUGAUGUGAAAUCGAGUAGGGCGGGACACGUGACAUCCUGUCUGAAUAUGGGGGGACCAUCCUCCAAGGCUAAAUACUCCUGACUGACCGAUAGUGAACCAGUACCGUGAGGGAAAGGCGAAAAGAACCCCUGUGAGGGGAGUGAAAUAGAACCUGAAACCGUGUACGUACAAGCAGUGGGAGCCCUUCGGGGUGACUGCGUACCUUUUGUAUAAUGGGUCAGCGACUUACAUUUUGUAGCGAGGUUAACCGUAUAGGGGAGCCGUAGGGAAACCGAGUCUUAACUGGGCGUCUAGUUGCAAGGUGUAGACCCGAAACCGGGUGAUCUAGCCAUGGGCAGGUUGAAGGUUGAGUAACAUCAACUGGAGGACCGAACCCACUAACGUUGCAAAGUUAGGGGAUGACCUGUGGCUGGGGGUGAAAGGCCAAUCAAACUCGGAGAUAGCUGGUUCUCCCCGAAAGCUAUUUAGGUAGCGCCUCGGACGAAUACUACUGGGGGUAGAGCACUGUUUGGGCUAGGGGGUCAUCCCGACUUACCAACCCCAUGCAAACUCCGAAUACCAGUAAGUAAUAUCCGGGAGACACACGGCGGGUGCUAACGUCCGUCGUGAAGAGGGAAACAACCCAGACCGCCGGCUAAGGUCCCAAAGUUCUGGUUAAGUGGGAAACGAUGUGGGAAGGCUCAGACAGCUAGGAUGUUGGCUUAGAAGCAGCCAUCAUUUAAAGAAAGCGUAAUAGCUCACUAGUCGAGUCGGCCUGCGCGGAAGAUGUAACGGGGCUCAAACCAGGCACCGAAGCCGCGGAUUCACACUAAGUGUGAGUGGUAGGGGAGCGUUCUGUAAGUCUGCGAAGGUGUAUCGGAAGAGGUAUGCUGGAGAUAUCAGAAGUGCGAAUGCUGACGUAAGUAACGAUAAAGGGGGUGAAAAGCCUCCUCGCCGGAAGACCAAGGGUUCCUGUCCAACGUUAAUCGGGGCAGGGUGAGUCGACCCCUAAGGCGAGGCCGAAAGGCGUAGUCGAUGGGAAGCAGGUUAAUAUUCCUGCACGACUUGUAAUUGCGAUGGGGGGACGGAGAAGGCUAGGUGGGCCAGGCGACGGUUGUCCUGGUGAAAGUGCGUAGGUGGUGUUUCUAGGCAAAUCCGGAGACACAACACUGAGAGACUAGUGUUCACACUACGCUGUUGAUUCCAUUGAUGCCCUGCUUCCAGGAAAAGCCUCUAAGCUUCAGAUUACAAGUCAUCGUACCCCAAACCGACACAGGUGGUCGGGUAGAGAAUACCAAGGCGCUUGAGAGAACUCGGGUGAAGGAACUAGGCAAAAUAGAACCGUAACUUCGGGAGAAGGUUCGCUCUUGACAGUGAAGUCCCUUGCGGAUGGAGCAGUUGGGAGUCGCAGUGACCAGAUGGCUGGGACUGUUUAUCAAAAACACAGCACUCUGCAAACACGAAAGUGGACGUAUAGGGUGUGACACCUGCCCGGUGCCGGAAGGUUAAUUGAUGGGGUUAGCGCAAGCGAAGCUCUUGAUCGAAGCCCCGGUAAACGGCGGCCGUAACUAUAACGGUCCUAAGGUAGCGAAAUUCCUUGUCGGGUAAGUUCCGACCUGCACGAAUGGUGUAACCAUGGCCAUGCUGUCUCCACCCGAGACUCAGUGAAAUCGAAUUCGCCGUGAAGAUGCGGUGUACCCGCGGCUAGACGGAAAGACCCCGUGAACCUUUACUACAGCUUGGCACUGAACAUUGAACCUACAUGUGUAGGAUAGGUGGGAGGCUUUGAAGGCGUGACGCCAGUUGCGCUGGAGCCGUCCUUGAAAUACCACCCUUGUAUGUUUGAUGUUCUAACGCAGGCCCCUGAAUCGGGGUCGCGGACAGUGCCUGGUGGGUAGUUUGACUGGGGCGGUCUCCUCCCAAAGAGUAACGGAGGAGCACGAAGGUUGGCUAAUCCUGGUCGGACAUCAGGAGGUUAGUGCAAUGGCAUAAGCCAGCUUAACUGCGAGACGGACAGGUCGAGCAGGUACGAAAGUAGGUCAUAGUGAUCCGGUGGUUCUGAAUGGAAGGGCCAUCGCUCAACGGAUAAAAGGUACUCCGGGGAUAACAGGCUGAUACCGCCCAAGAGUUCAUAUCGACGGCGGUGUUUGGCACCUCGAUGUCGGCUCAUCACAUCCUGGGGCUGAAGUCGGUCCCAAGGGUAUGGCUGUUCGCCAUUUAAAGUGGUACGCGAGCUGGGUUCAGAACGUCGUGAGACAGUUCGGUCCCUAUCUGCCGUGGGCGUUGGAUGAUUGAAGGGAGUUGCUCCUAGUACGAGAGGACCGGAGUGAACGAACCUCUGGUGUUCGGGUUGUCACGCCAGUGGCACUGCCCGGUAGCUAAGUUCGGAAUCGAUAACCGCUGAAAGCAUCUAAGCGGGAAGCGAGCCCUGAGAUGAGUCAUCCCUGACCCCUUGAGGGUCCUAAAGGGCCGUUGGAGACCACAACGUUGAUAGGUGGGGUGUGUAAGCGCGGCGACGUGUUGAGCUAACCCAUACUAAUUACCCGUGAGGCUUAACCAUACAACACCGAAG